GGCGGCGUGCUAACACAUGCAAGUCGAACGAGAACGGGCUUUAGUUUACUAAAGUUGUCAGCUAAGUGGCGCACGGGUGAGUAAUAUAUAGUUAACCUGCCUCAAAGAAGGGAAUAAUUGUUGGAAACGACUUGUAACGCCCUAUAUGCCUUUAUUACAUAAGUAAGCAAGGGAAACAUUUAUGGCUUUGAGAUGGGACUGUACGGUAUCAGAUAGUUGGUGAGGUAAUGGCUCACCAAGUCUAUGACGCCUAACUGGUUUGAGAGGAUGAUCAGUCACACUGGAACUGAGACACGGUCCAGACUCCUACGGGAGGCAGCAGUGGGGAAUAUUGCACAAUGGAGGAAACUCUGAUGCAGCAACGCCGCGUGGAGGAUGACACAUUUCGGUGCGUAAACUCCUUUUAUAUAAGAAGAUAAUGACGGUAUUAUAUGAAUAAGCACCGGCUAACUCCGUGCCAGCAGCCGCGGUAAUACGGGGGGUGCAAGCGUUACUCGGAAUCACUGGGCGUAAAGAGCAUGUAGGCUGGUAGAAAAGUUGGAAGUGAAAUCCUGUGGCUUAACCAUAGAACUGCUUCCAAAACUCUCUACCUAGAAUAUGGGAGAGGUAGAUGGAAUUUCUGGUGUAGGGGUAAAAUCCGUAGAGAUCAGAAGGAAUACCGAUUGCGAAGGCGAUCUGCUGGAACAUUAUUGACGCUGAGAUGCGAAAGCGUGGGGAGCAAACAGGAUUAGAUACCCUGGUAGUCCACGCCCUAAACGAUGCACACUAGUUGUUGCCAUACUAGAUAUGGCAGUAAUGCAGUUAACACAGUAAGUGUGCCGCCUGGGGAGUACGGUCGCAAGAUUAAAACUCAAAGGAAUAGACGGGGACCCGCACAAGCGGUGGAGCAUGUGGUUUUAAUUCGAC
Molecule: ribosomal RNA, 906 nt
Filed under: uncultured Campylobacteraceae bacterium
Lineage: Bacteria; Pseudomonadati; Campylobacterota; Epsilonproteobacteria; Campylobacterales; Campylobacteraceae
Description: bacterial SSU rRNA
Rfam family: Bacterial small subunit ribosomal RNA
Source: RNAcentral